Long non-coding RNA from Heterocephalus glaber (naked mole-rat), 692 nucleotides. NCBI's taxonomy places the organism in Eukaryota, Metazoa, Chordata, Mammalia, Rodentia, Bathyergidae. The record is from Ensembl.
GAAAUCUGAAGACAGAUUGCUCACAUUUUUGAUGUCAUCUGUGAAGCUAAUGGAGGGCUGCCUAGGACUCUUUCCUCCAUGUCUGGAACAUUUAGAAGAGGAAUUCUUCAUCUGGACAAAGGGAAGAACCUCAGGCACUGUCCCUAGGAAAUUAGGCACCAUUAGCCUCUUCAUACAAAGAAGAGGAGGAUCUGUUGAUUUUGGCUGCUCCACACUCAUGGUGGAAGAAUGGACUUGCAGUAACAGCUUGGCACCGGAGGACCAGCAACAGGAGGCUGAGGCCAUCACUGAUGAUGUCACAAUCCUCCACUGUCCCAGAGCCCAUCCUGAACCUCCCUGCCCAGCCCAGCUUGGUCACUCCUAGGUGAGACCACAGCUCAGCCCAAGGUGGUUUUCCUGGACAGCUGUUUGGUUGCAAAGAAUGAAUUCAUUGAGACCAUAAUGGCUGUGACAGGUCCAUAGAACAGGGGAAAUGUGCCUCUCAGAGUUCGAGGUGCUUCCCUUGACACCUUGGUACCUCACCAAGGUGUUUUCCACAGAUGACAACAGAUGGAUGGGACUAUUCAGUCACCCCCUGCUUUCCUGUCUUAUUCAAUGGGUGGUACAUCAGGCAUAACAAUUUCUCUGGGACUCCUUAUUCUCAAGCACAAAAUGCAAAGAUUACAUUGAAUUACAAUAAAUUUCCAGCAAAC